RNAcentral lists this long non-coding RNA (1075 nucleotides) under Salmo salar (Atlantic salmon). RNAcentral's name for it is "lncRNA (ENSSSAG00000119942.1)". Lineage: Eukaryota; Metazoa; Chordata; Actinopteri; Salmoniformes; Salmonidae. The record is from RNAcentral.
GUUUGAGAGAGAGAGAGAUAGAGUGUUAGAAAUAAAUAAAGACAGAGCAUGUGUGUAAGAAAAACAGUGUGUGUGAAAAAGAGAAAGAGAGUGUGUGUGUGUGAGAGAGACAGACCGAGAGUUUGUGUGUGUGAGAGAGAGAGAGAGAGACAUAGUGUGUGAGAGAGAUAGCGAGAGAGAGAGAGGCAUAGUGUGCGAAAGAGAGAGAGGAAAGAGAGAGAGGUAGGGAUAGAGCAUGGCUGAUCCUGCCCCCAUGGGAGGUCCGGACAGGGACGUAUGUGUGUGUGUGUCUGUGAGCAGUGGGGUGUGGCGCUGUCGUUGCUGGAGAGUUAUGGGCUUCAAUAAGGAUCUACACAAUGUGUGCCAAGUCAAAGCAUGGCCUAAUUAAAACCUUUCUGUGGAAUCUCUCUGAAGUUUAGGCCUGAGAGAAAGAGUCACUGGGAGAACACACAGUCAGAUUAGAGGGAGCUCUCUUUGCAUGCUUCUGCUCACCACACAACACGCACAGAGAGAGAGACAGACGCACACACGCAAGAACACACACACACCCACCCCAAAACACAUGCUCUCAGGCAUGGACAUACACACCACACACUAAAAGCACAAAUAUGGACAAAACUUACAUACACAACACUGAUAACAUUUUGAGCAGGUUUUGUACUGUACUGAAUGUUGUCUUACAUUACAACAGGAAACACAGUUUUCCUCUCAGAACUGCCAGAAGAUUCCAGAAACUGUGAGGAGCCAUCAGAACAGUCUGGAACAUCUGUCCUAUUGUGGUGGGUGACAGCCUAGGGCUUCUGGAGAGAUCAGUCCUACAGCCUCAAACCACCAAGGCAGAGGGCCUCAAACAAACAAGGCCUAGAAAUCUUACAACCACGAACCACCAAGGCCUGCAGAGGACAGAUCCUCCAACAACAAACCACCAAGGCCUGCAGAGGACAGAUCUUCCAACCACGAACCACCAAGGCCUGCAGAUGACAGAUCCUCCAGCCACAAACCACCAAGGCCUGCAGAUGACAGAUCCUCCAACAACAAACCACCAAGGCCUGCAGAGGACAGAUCCUCCAACCAC